RNAcentral lists this signal recognition particle RNA (98 nucleotides) under Imperialibacter roseus. RNAcentral's name for it is "signal recognition particle sRNA small type". It matches the Rfam family "Bacteroidales small SRP", at positions 9 to 102 of the family's 107-position model. From Rfam's summary of the family: The non-coding component of the signal recognition particle in Bacteroides Lineage: Bacteria; Pseudomonadati; Bacteroidota; Cytophagia; Cytophagales; Flammeovirgaceae. The record is from RNAcentral. RNAcentral also lists the same sequence under 4 other names.
GCGGCAAAUCGGUACGACCAGCUCCUGCUGAAUCCCCCAGGUCCGGAAGGAAGCAAGGGUAAGCGGUUGUAGCGGUGCGAUAUUCGGUUUGCCAUUUU